This 478-nucleotide ribosomal RNA is filed under the name uncultured bacterium. RNAcentral describes it as "bacterial SSU rRNA". It matches the Rfam family "Bacterial small subunit ribosomal RNA", at positions 29 to 494 of the family's 1533-position model. The record is from RNAcentral.
AACGAACGCUGGCGGCGCGCCUAAUACAUGCAAGUCGAGCGAGAAGACGUAGCAAUACGUUUGUAAAGCGGCGAACGGGUGAGGAAUACAUGGGUAACCUACCCUCGAGUGGGGAAUAACUAGCCGAAAGGUUAGCUAAUACCGCGUACGCUCCUUGGACUUCGGUUCAGGGAGGAAAGCGAUACCGUGGGUAUCGCGCUCUUGGAUGGGCUCAUGUCCUAUCAGCUUGUUGGUGAGGAACGGCUCACCAAGGCUUCGACGGGUAGCUGGUCUGAGAGGACGAUCAGCCACACUGGCACUGCGACACGGGCCAGACUCCUACGGGAGGCAGCAGUAAGGAAUAUUGCGCAAUGGGCGAAAGCCUGACGCAGCGACGCCGCGUGGGGGAUGAAGGUCUUCGGAUUGUAAACCCCUUUCGGGAGGGAGAGAGCUCAGGGCCGAAUAAGCUUUGAGUCCGACGGUACCUUGCGUAAGCCAC